CCCUAUGUGGCGCAGUGGUUUGAACAUCGGACUACAAUUCUGAAGACCAGGGUUCGAAUCCAAGCUUGGCCA
Non-coding RNA from Phrynosoma platyrhinos (Desert horned lizard), 72 nucleotides. NCBI's taxonomy places the organism in Eukaryota, Metazoa, Chordata, Lepidosauria, Squamata, Phrynosomatidae. The record is from the annotation of a GenBank genome assembly.